Etheostoma spectabile (orangethroat darter) is the source of this 1644-nucleotide long non-coding RNA. RefSeq lists it as uncharacterized. Lineage: Eukaryota; Metazoa; Chordata; Actinopteri; Perciformes; Percidae. The transcript is spliced from 3 exons. The record is from RefSeq and is a predicted model, not a curated record.
UGCAGGAGACACCUCUGAAGAGGGAGUUAGUUCUCGUCUUUAGUAGCAAUGUUUUACUUAUUGUUAAUCAAAGGAAUGACAUCCUAACGUGAGAGGCAUUUUUUAAUAUAUUGAAUAAUGGCCAUUUAAUCCAGCACUUUUCAAAAUUUUCAUUGUUUGUUCAGCAUGGAAUCAGAAAAGUCAUUGGCCUGUUUUCACUAAUUGGAGCCAUAUCUAUAGACCUAGAGUUAAAAGAAGCCACACUUAAAGGAAUAGUUUGGCAUUUUAGGAGUGUAGUUCAAAAUCCACCAAGCAACCCCUUUAAAGCUGUCCAAUUAACACGUUAAAAUUAGUCGUGAUUUAAAAAUAUUUAAAAAAAAAAACUUAAAAACAUAUUUUUGGGUUUUUUUUGGGGGGUUUUUGGGGUUCGGGCCCUAUUUUUUGGGGCUCUGAGUUUUUUUUAAUUUAAAUUUAAAACUUUUUUGGAGUCUUGGCUCGUUGCCUGGCAAACGCUCAGAGCCAAGAAAUGAAAACCUAUGCUCAAAACCCCUAAAGGACAUCCUUUAAAAUUUAUUUCCCCUUUUCGGGCAAAAUGCAUGUUCUCCCCCAGAAAAGAGAUGAUCUUUUUCCCACAUCACAGGGGAUGCAUGCUUCCCCCGGGCCCACACUCAUAAAAAAACUUAAAGGUUAGAUAUUUGACACUUGUAUUUCAAAUUUGUCUUUUUUUUUUAAAGGCCUUUUUAAAGGCUAACAUGGUCCACUUUUGAAAAUUAAAUUCCGUUUGUUGUGCUGUGGUGCCCCUAAGGGGGGGGGGGUGUGGUGUGUGUGUUUUGUGGGGUGUGUUUUUUGUGGUGAAAUUUUCCCGUACGUUUGUGCCAUGCCCUCUAGUUCUCACUACAAGAAGCUCUUUUUAGUUUCCCACCCCAGCUAUUUUUCCGCCAAACGGGGGUUCUGUGCAUUUCCCCCUCCGCAACAAAUCGUAUGCAAAGGCCCUGCAUUUUAUUUUUUUUCCAUGGGUUUUGGGGCCCCCCCCAAACAGGCAAAUCGGGUCUUUGCCCCUUGCUCUCGGGGUUUUUUAUUUUGGUCCUUUGUCCCUCAAAGGGCCAAGGCCCGCGAUUUUCCCUUGUAAAUUAAAGUCCCUUCCUCCCCACACCACUUUGGGAAUUUUUCUUUUGGGCAUUUAGCCCAUUUUUGGGGUUGAACAGGGAACCCCUGAACACAAGGAGCAAAACAAUUUUGGUUGCGGAUGUAGACUAGAUUUUAUUUUUGUUUUUUUUGUUUUUGUUUGAUUUAUUUUUUUUCCGUUGGUUGCUGACAAAGAUUAUCAUGAUCUGCCAGUCAAGCGCUGCUGAACGUACAAUGACAGAGAACUUUUCUUCUAUGGUUCCAAAUUUGCUUAAAAUCCCUUUUUUGUUUUUGUUUUGUUAUAAUCUUGUAGUUCAUUUAAUGACUUUGUAAUGUCAGACAUUUUUUAAUCAGAGCGUUGACAGAGGCUCGUCAGCCCAUUCUUUGUAACAUUUCAGAAUCUCAGAUUAAUGUGAACAUUAUGGUGAAAUAUUUAUCAGGCGUGUAAUUGAUGUACUCCGUUUAUUUUGUAAUGACAGAUCACUAUUUAAAUAAAGUUCAUGUACUCACAAAAUGCCGCGUAUGCACAUUGGUCUUCAA